UACGUAGGGGGCAAGCGUUAUCCGGAAUUACUGGGUGUAAAGGGAGCGUAGGCGGCAUGGUAAGCCAGAUGUGAAAGCCCGCGGCUUAACCGCGCGGAUUGCAUUUGGAACUAUCAAGCUAGAGUACAGGAGAGGAAAGCGGAAUUCCUAGUGUAGCGGUGGAAUGCGUAGAUAUUAGGAAGAACACCAGUGGCGAAGGCGGCUUUCUGGACUGAAACUGACGCUGAGGCUCGAAAGCGUGGGGAGCAAACAGG
Molecule: ribosomal RNA, 254 nt
Filed under: uncultured bacterium
Lineage: Bacteria
Description: partial 16S ribosomal RNA
Rfam family: Bacterial small subunit ribosomal RNA
Source: RNAcentral